UGUGAUGGCCCAGGCUGAUAAACCAACAGCCAAUGAGACCAGCUUCUUGGGAUGUUCAACCAAGAUGACACACAUUGAGGACCAUGAGCCGUUUGAACCAGCACCUGAGGUCACUGCGAGCAGUCAGCAGCAGAGCCCGCCUGAGGACAAUGGCCAGCUUGAAGAUCCUCAUGUAACACUUGGCAAUCAGAAGGCACCCUGUGAUUUUGCACCUGCCAGAGCUGCUACAUCAAGUCAUGUGACUUAUGACAACCCUGGGUGUCUUCAAGGAUCUUUUGACCAGAGCAGCCACAUAUUCGGGGAAAAUGCAGGUAAGCAGUGUGCUACAAAUGGCAUAGCGGCGAUUAUGACCCACACCACCCAUAGCGUUCUCAAAU
This is a long non-coding RNA of Gadus morhua (Atlantic cod), 377 nucleotides long. RefSeq lists it as uncharacterized. NCBI's taxonomy places the organism in Eukaryota, Metazoa, Chordata, Actinopteri, Gadiformes, Gadidae. The transcript is spliced from 4 exons. The record is from RefSeq and is a predicted model, not a curated record.